Long non-coding RNA from Suricata suricatta (meerkat), 1044 nucleotides. RefSeq lists it as uncharacterized. The record is from RefSeq and is a predicted model, not a curated record. The transcript is spliced from 2 exons. Lineage: Eukaryota; Metazoa; Chordata; Mammalia; Carnivora; Herpestidae.
GUGCUCGCUCCUGCCGGCUCUCCGCGGCCAUUGGUUCCGCGAGUGCAGGGCGGGUCCCAGCAAAACUUCCUCCUGCUGUGGGCCGCCCUCAGCACCGCCCCGCCGGCUCGCGGCCUCUUCCCCUCCUGGUUCCGGCUCCGCUCUGCCUCAGUUUCUUUGGGGAAGAAGGGUUUGCAGUUAUGGGAAGGGGACGGAGGGAAGGAACACCCUCCAGAUUAGGCAUCAGCUAGAACUUCCCCAUUGUGACGGGGUGGGUGGUGUCUCCUCGCCUUCCGUUCCCUAGCAGCUAGCCAGACCGGAGGAUGAUGGAGCUGAUGACCUCAGAGCGAAACCAACAGCUUCGGCGAUCGCCGGGUGUGAAGCACCUGGUGUGACAACACCUCUGCUGGAGUGAGAGUGAGGGCGAGCCAGCUGGUGCUGGGUGUGCUGUGGGGGUGUGAACAACGCGGGCUGGGAGCAGGGGGAUCUGCCUCAAGGGAUCACACAAUGAGAGACUCACACCCGUGCCAGUCCCCAGACUCCCAAACUCGAUUUUGUCUGAUGAACCAAGCUAAUUUGUCGGAAUGGUGGAUGAAGGGUUAAGGAGGAGGUGAAUGUCAAAUAGUGGGGAUUCCUCCUCUUCCACCUUCCUCCAACUCAAGGCAGAGGCUGAGCCUGCAGGCCAAACAAGAUCUGUAUGUACCGCCAGGGGGAGACAGAGACUAGUCUAAACAUCUAUCUGAAAGGAAAAUGUAUCACUAACUUCGUGUUCAGAGUGGUGUUCCCAAACAUGGUUGCAGGGAAUUGAUCAGUAGAUCUCCGGAGAACCUCCUACCCCAUGCACUGUCAAAAUGAGGACAAGGCCCUUGUGGCUCUAAUGCAAUUCAGGGGUAGCCCCCAGGAAUCACUGGCACCAGGCACCAAGCCCGUGGUUGGGACGCCAUCUCUGGGCUCUGCGGGGCCAAAUGCUUCCUGAACAUAACCCUCACUCUUCCUGAGCUAAAGUGGGCCCCCAGAAGGCAUGACUUUCCUGGCAGCUUCCAAAUAAAAAUCUCAUAAUGAUCA